CAAUGAGGUCUCAGUUGCUGCCGUUGGUUGACUCAGAUGGAGUUUGAUUUAAUGAUUUUGCUCCCUUUAACCUCUUUUUCGUUUCAUCUGUUUUUAAGUUUAGACCUUCUUUAUUAACUCGUUUCUUUAACUAGAUUAAUGUUAAUGUUCUUACACAAUGGAGAGGGAGGAUUGUUAUCCCAUUCCAUGGUCUUUGGUGGUUGUCACAUUUUCCUCAUUUAGAUCCUUUUUGAGGCCCUAGAUCACAUAUCUAAAACAGAAACAGACAAAUUCUAAAGGGAUAGUUU
Arabidopsis thaliana (thale cress) is the source of this 287-nucleotide long non-coding RNA. RefSeq annotates it as other RNA. The record is from RefSeq. Lineage: Eukaryota; Viridiplantae; Streptophyta; Magnoliopsida; Brassicales; Brassicaceae. The transcript has a single exon.